CUUAGUGGACUGAGGUCGACCUCCCCUCCCCCAAAUCAAUAAUUUAAUGUGACUUAUCAGAAAGAGAAAGAAUUGUUUACUUUAAAGCCCUGGAUCCCAUAAAGGGAGGCUGGGAAAGGCUGAGGGGAAACAGACGCUCCGAGGGCCCUGUUUUUGCCUCUGGGCUCCUGAAAGGCAAACAAGGAGAGGGCCUACAGCUAGCACUAAGAGAGGCCAAGUCACCACUCAGAUCACAACUUGGGGACCGGCCCUGCAGAGGAGGAGCUCCCUGCCAUGGUAAUGCAUAGGGAGCUGGUGAAUUCCUUUUGGGAAGUCUCCGUGGCAGUGCUGGCGUUUGGAGGUGCUGCUAAUACUCUGCAGGCUGUGCGUUAUCCCCUACCAGAGCUAUGGAGUGUGACAAUGGUGUUUGUGUCCAGUCUAUCAAACGCCAUUAUCACACUAAAUAGCUACUGUUGGGCAAUCCAUCUGUUCCAAGAAGAGCAGAUCGAGCAUUGGGCCAUCUACUGUGGAUGGACAAAAUGAAAGUUAUGCUCAGAUCAGUGCCUUCACUCAUUUGCAGGGGCCAAAUUAAUGGCCAAAAUGGUGGGCUGAUAAUAUUUAUGUGCUCUGAGAGCCCGAAUUUUUCUCAACAUUGCUCUUAGCCAUUGCCAUCAAUAGAUGGUUUCCCAUAGGAUGUAAGCUCCUCGAGGGCAGAGGCUUUGUUUUCCUUUUCAUUGUUGUAUCCCCAGCUUAUCACAGUAUCUUGUACAGAGUAGGGGCUUAAUAAAUGCUUAUGAAAUUGGGGUGUAUUUCUGAGUCACGAAAAAGGCACACACGGCACAGCAUGCUAUUAGACACAGGAUGCCACAAUAAGAAUUUCUUGAAACAGUAGGAAUGAAGCAGAUACAGGAAAAAGAAAUCAUCUGAGAAAUGCAAAUAGCUGGCUUAUUAUUUAGGUAGAAAAUGAAGGUAUGUGGCUUUUAUCUUUUCAUUAUAAAAUUCCUUUCAAAAGCACACUUGGUAAUAAACUUAUGGAUGGCUUAAUUGGCCUUCUAGAAAUGCUA
Monodelphis domestica (gray short-tailed opossum) is the source of this 1043-nucleotide non-coding RNA. The record is from RefSeq and is a predicted model, not a curated record. NCBI's taxonomy places the organism in Eukaryota, Metazoa, Chordata, Mammalia, Didelphimorphia, Didelphidae.